This 468-nucleotide ribosomal RNA is filed under the name uncultured bacterium. RNAcentral describes it as "partial 16S ribosomal RNA". It matches the Rfam family "Bacterial small subunit ribosomal RNA", at positions 28 to 507 of the family's 1533-position model. The record is from RNAcentral.
GACGAACGCUGGCGGCGUGCUUAACACAUGCAAGUCGAACGGAAAGGCCCUGCUUUUGUGGGGUGCUCGAGUGGCGAACGGGUGAGUAACACGUGAGUAACCUGCCCUUGACUUUGGGAUAACUUCAGGAAACUGGGGCUAAUACCGGAUAGGAGCUCCUGCUGCAUGGUGGGGGUUGGAAAGUUUCGGCGGUUGGGGAUGGACUCGCGGCUUAUCAGCUUGUUGGUGGGGUAGUGGCUUACCAAGGCUUUGACGGGUAGCCGGCCUGAGAGGGUGACCGGCCACAUUGGGACUGAGAUACGGCCCAGACUACUACGGGAGGCAGCAGUGGGGAAUAUUGCACAAUGGGCGGAAGCCUGAUGCAGCAACGCCGCGUGCGGGAUGACGGCCUUCGGGUUGUAAACCGCUUUCGCCUGUGACGAAGCGUGAGUGACGGUAAUGGGUAAAGAAGCACCGGCUAUCUACGUG